RNAcentral lists this ribosomal RNA (731 nucleotides) under Duganella lactea. RNAcentral's name for it is "partial 23S ribosomal RNA". It matches the Rfam family "Bacterial large subunit ribosomal RNA", at positions 1 to 773 of the family's 2925-position model. Lineage: Bacteria; Pseudomonadati; Pseudomonadota; Betaproteobacteria; Burkholderiales; Oxalobacteraceae. The record is from RNAcentral.
GUUAUAGGGACAAGUGAAUAAGUGCACAUGGCGGAUGCCUUGGCGAUUACAGGCGAUGAAGGACGUAGUAGCUUGCGAUAAGCUGCGGGGAGCUAGCAAACAAGCUUUGAUCCGCAGAUUUCCGAAUGGGGAAACCCACCCUUUUAGGGUAUCACUCACUGAAUACAUAGGUGUGUGAAGCGAACGCGGCGAACUGAAACAUCUAAGUAGCUGCAGGAAAAUAAAUCAACCGAGAUUCCCAAAGUAGUGGCGAGCGAAAUGGGAAGAGCCUGUACGUGAUAGUCGGACUGAUAGUGGAACGCUCUGGAAAUGGCGGCCAUAGCGGGUGAUAGCCCCGUACACGAAAUCAGACCGGUGGUACUAAGCGUACGACAAGUAGGGCGGGACACGAGAAAUCCUGUCUGAAUAUGGGGGGACCAUCCUCCAAGGCUAAAUACUCGUAAUCGACCGAUAGUGAACCAGUACCGUGAGGGAAAGGCGAAAAGAACCCCGGGAGGGGAGUGAAAUAGAUCCUGAAACCGUGUGCAUACAAACAGUAGGAGCCUCCUUGUGGGGUGACUGCGUACCUUUUGUAUAAUGGGUCAGCGACUUACAUUCAGUGGCGAGGUUAACCGCAUAGGGAAGCCGUAGAGAAAUCGAGUCCGAACAGGGCGAUAGUCGCUGGGUGUAGACCCGAAACCAAGUGAUCUACUCAUGGCCAGGAUGAAGGUGCGGUAACACGCACUGGAGGU